RNAcentral lists this ribosomal RNA (301 nucleotides) under uncultured bacterium. RNAcentral describes it as "partial 16S ribosomal RNA". It matches the Rfam family "Bacterial small subunit ribosomal RNA", at positions 509 to 807 of the family's 1533-position model. The record is from RNAcentral.
CAGCCGCCGCGGUAAUACGUAGGGUGCAAGCGUUGUCCGGAAUCAUUGGGCGUAAAGAGCGUGUAGGCGGCUCGAUCAGUCCGCUGUGAAAGUCCAGGGCUCAACCCUGGAAAGCCGGUGGAUACUGUCGGGCUAGAGUACGGAAGAGGCGAGUGGAAUUCCUGGUGUAGCGGUGAAAUGCGCAGGUAUCAGGAGGAACACCAAUGGCGAAGGCAGCUCGCUGGGACGAUACUGACGCUGAGACGCGAAAGCGUGGGGAGCAAACAGGAUUAGAUACCCCUGUAGUCCCUGUCUCUUAUAC